GUCUCCAUCGUCUAGUGGUUAGGACACCAGGUUUUCAUCCUGGUAACAUGGGUUCGACUCCCGUUGGAGAUGCCA
Molecule: transfer RNA, 75 nt
Filed under: Lentisphaerota bacterium
Lineage: Bacteria; Pseudomonadati; Lentisphaerota
Description: Lentisphaerae bacterium (anaerobic digester metagenome) tRNA-Glu
Rfam family: tRNA
About the family: Transfer RNA (tRNA) molecules are approximately 80 nucleotides in length.
Source: RNAcentral